GACGAACGCUGGCGGCGUGCUUAACACAUGCAAGUCGAACGGAAAGGCCCUGCUUUUGUGGGGUGCUCGAGUGGCGAACGGGUGAGUAACACGUGAGUAACCUGCCCUUGACUUUGGGAUAACUUCAGGAAACUGGGGCUAAUACCGGAUAGGAGCUCCUGCCGCAUGGUGGGGGUUGGAAAGUUUCGGCGGUUGGGGAUGGACUCGCGGCUUAUCAGCUUGUUGGUGGGGUAGUGGCUUACCAAGGCUUUGACGGGUAGCCGGCCUGAGAGGGUGACCGGCCACAUUGGGACUGAGAUACGGCCCAGACUCCUACGGGAGGCAGCAGUGGGGAAUAUUGCACAAUGGGCGGAAGCCUGAUGCAGCAAUGCCGCGUGCGGGAUGACGGCCUUCGGGUUGUAAACCGCUUUCGCCUGUGACGAAGCGUGAGUGACGGUAAUGGGUAAAGAAGCACCGGCUAACUACGUG
This 468-nucleotide ribosomal RNA is filed under the name uncultured bacterium. Its description in RNAcentral is "partial 16S ribosomal RNA". It matches the Rfam family "Bacterial small subunit ribosomal RNA", at positions 28 to 507 of the family's 1533-position model. The record is from RNAcentral.